CUGGCCGACGCAUCGCCCACUCUAAACUUGGCGAAAUGUGAGUUUGGCAAAGCUACCUUGACCUAUCUUGGCCAACAGUUAGGCCAGGGCCAGGUAUGCCCCUCUAGAGGCAAAGAUAGCUGCCAUUCCUUUCCCCACCACCCGGAGAUCUAUAAGGAGUUUCUUAGGCUUGGCUCCUUACUAUAGAAGUUUCUGUAGAAAAUUUUCCAUCGUUGUCCAGCCUUUAACUAAUCUUCUUAGCCCCAAGGUUGAUUUUGUGUGGAACCAGGAGUGCCGGCAUGCUUUUGAUAGCAUCAAGGCUCUCUUGAGCCACGCCCCUGUGGCUGCUGCUCCUGACCUUGCUCGCCCGUUUAAGUUGGAGGUUGAUGCAAGCGCAGUCGAAGCCGGGGCAGUUCUGCUGCAGGAGGAUGUCUGUGGGGUUGACCAACCGGUGUGCUACUUCUCCAGGAAGUUUAAAAAACACCAAGUAAAUUACUCCACCAUCGAAAAAGAGACUCUUGCUCUGUUGUUGGCACUCCAACAUUUUGAAGUGUAUGUUGGGUCCAGUCCUUUGCCAGUUGUUGUCUUCACAGAUCACGACCCACUCGGAAUCCUUGCGCGCAUGUACAACCAUAACCAAAGGCCGAUGUGGUGAGCGUUGAUCGUGCAGGACUUCAACCUGGUAAUCCGGCACAAAAAGGGGGAGUGGUGUUACGGCUCCAGACGUGUAGUUUGUUGGCUGCUGGUGAAGGAGGAUUGGAGCUUCGGGCGACCACGGGAGCGAAUCAGAUUCUGCAAUUUGUCGUCCACAAGUUUCAAAAGGCUGCUGGAGCUUCAGUCAAGGCGGCUGGAUCUGAUGUGAACCGUCGCCCAAACCUUUGUCUGUGCUCGGCUUCUUUCUAUUAUAUAUUGUGAUUUAGUUGUGGUUGUUCUUUAGUUUCUGUGCAACAGUUAAACUGACCCUAGUUUUUGUUGUCAUUUUAUUCUGUUAAACCUUUAGCCUGAAGGGUCCUUUGUUUGUAAAUAGAUCUUGCCGCUAUUUUAUUUCUUAAUAAAAACACCUCUGUUAAAU
This is a long non-coding RNA of Centropristis striata (black sea bass), 1051 nucleotides long. RefSeq lists it as uncharacterized. The record is from RefSeq and is a predicted model, not a curated record. The transcript is spliced from 2 exons. NCBI's taxonomy places the organism in Eukaryota, Metazoa, Chordata, Actinopteri, Perciformes, Serranidae.